GCGGGCUCUGCUUAUAGGAUCCAGUUCUUAGGCUCCACAGCGACGGCCAUGAACAAGACUAUUUGGAAGGUUUGGGCACCUUCCAAGGUCAAGCUCUCCUCCUGGCUAGCGAUUCAAAACAGGAUAUGGACGGCGGAUAGAUUGGAGAAGCGAGGUUGGGAGAAUUGCGGCUUGUGCACCCUCUACUGAAGGGCAAACGAGAUGUCCGCGCACCUCUUCUUUCGGUGCAGGUUCACCUUGCGCAUAUGGAGAUGGGUAAAGGAGUGGCUUGGCCUAGGGGCUCUCGAGAUCCAUCAAUGGCAGGCGGAGCGCGGCAUCAAGCAUUGGUGGACAAACAUGUCGAAGCCCAAUACGCCGAACCGGAAGGCCAUGGCUUCCUUUACUAUCACUAUUGUUUACUAUGCUUGUCGGUUGGGCCAUUUGGAACGAGAUAAACGCUAG
RNAcentral lists this ribosomal RNA (441 nucleotides) under Triticum aestivum (bread wheat). RNAcentral's name for it is "partial small subunit ribosomal RNA". Lineage: Eukaryota; Viridiplantae; Streptophyta; Magnoliopsida; Poales; Poaceae. The record is from RNAcentral.